This is a Y RNA of Callithrix jacchus (white-tufted-ear marmoset), 102 nucleotides long. It matches the Rfam family "Y RNA". Rfam says of the family: Y RNAs are components of the Ro ribonucleoprotein particle (Ro RNP), in association with Ro60 and La proteins. The Y RNAs and Ro60 and La proteins are well conserved, but the function of the Ro RNP is not known. NCBI's taxonomy places the organism in Eukaryota, Metazoa, Chordata, Mammalia, Primates, Cebidae. The record is from Ensembl.
GGCUGGUCCAAGUGCAGUGGUGUUUACAACUAAUUGAUCACAACCAGUUACGGAUUUCUUUGUUCCUUCUCCACUCCCACUGCUUCACUUGACUAGCCAAAA